AUUGAACGCUGGCGGCAUGCCUUACACAUGCAAGUCGAACGGUAACAGGUCUUCGGAUGCUGACGAGUGGCGAACGGGUGAGUAAUACGUCGGAACGUGCCUAGUAGUGGGGGAUAACUACUCGAAAGAGUGGCUAAUACCGCAUGCGAUCUACGGAUGAAAGCAGGGGAUCGCAAGACCUUGUGCUACUAGAGCGGCCGAUGGCAGAUUAGGUAGUUGGUGGGAUAAAAGCUUACCAAGCCGACGAUCUGUAGCUGGUCUGAGAGGACGAUCAGCCACACUGGGACUGAGACACGGCCCAGACUCCUACGGGAGGCAGCAGUGGGGAAUUUUGGACAAUGGGCGAAAGCCUGAUCCAGCAAUGCCGCGUGCAGGAUGAAGGCCUUCGGGUUGUAAACUGCUUUUGUACGGAACGAAAAGCCCCGGGUUAAUACCCUGGGGUCAUGACGGUACCGUAAGAAUAAGCACCGGCUAACUACGUGCCAGCAGCCGCGGUAA
RNAcentral lists this ribosomal RNA (498 nucleotides) under uncultured bacterium. Its description in RNAcentral is "partial 16S ribosomal RNA". It matches the Rfam family "Bacterial small subunit ribosomal RNA", at positions 30 to 523 of the family's 1533-position model. The record is from RNAcentral.